This 468-nucleotide ribosomal RNA is filed under the name uncultured bacterium. RNAcentral's name for it is "partial 16S ribosomal RNA". It matches the Rfam family "Bacterial small subunit ribosomal RNA", at positions 28 to 507 of the family's 1533-position model. The record is from RNAcentral.
GACGAACGCUGGCGGCGUGCUUAACACAUGCAAGUCGAACGGAAAGGCCCUGCUUUUGUGGGGUGCUCGAGUGGCGAACGGGUGAGUAACACGUGAGUAACCUGCCCUUGACUUUGGGAUAACUUCAGGAAACUGGUGCUAAUACCGGAUAGGAGCUCCUGCUGCAUGGUGGGGGUUGGAACGUUUCGGCGGUUGGGGAUGGACUCGCGGCUUAUCAGCUUGUUGGUGGGGUAGUGGCUUACCAAGGCUUUGACGGGUAGCCGGCCUGUGAGGGUGACCGGCCACAUUGGGACUGAGAUACGGCCCAGACUCCUACGGGAGGCAGCAGUGGGGAAUAUUGCACAAUGGGCGGAAGCCUGAUGCAGCAACGCCGCGUGCGGGAUGACGGCCUUCGGGUUGGAAACCGCUUUCGCCUGUGACGAAGCGUGAGUGACGGUAAUGGGUAAAGAAGCACCGGCUAACUACGUG